UACGUAGGGUGCAGGCGUUAAUCGGAAUUACUGGGCGUAAAGCGUGCGCAGGCGGUUUCUUAAGUCAGAUGUGAAAGCCCCGGGCUUAACCUGGGAACUGCGUUUGAAACUGGGAGACUUGAGUGUGGCAGAGGGGGGUGGAAUUCCGCGUGUAGCAGUGAAAUGCGUAGAGAUGCGGAGGAACACCGAUGGCGAAGGCAGCCCCCUGGGCCAAUACUGACGCUCAGGCACGAAAGCGUGGGGAGCAAACAGG
This 253-nucleotide ribosomal RNA is filed under the name uncultured bacterium. Its description in RNAcentral is "partial 16S ribosomal RNA". It matches the Rfam family "Bacterial small subunit ribosomal RNA", at positions 524 to 776 of the family's 1533-position model. The record is from RNAcentral.